Mycena rosella is the source of this 95-nucleotide non-coding RNA. The record is from the annotation of a GenBank genome assembly. NCBI's taxonomy places the organism in Eukaryota, Fungi, Basidiomycota, Agaricomycetes, Agaricales, Mycenaceae.
GGCCUGAUAGCACAAUUGGAUAGUGCGUCUGCAACACAUACACGGCUUCCGCCAUUAAUAUGCAGAACAUCUCUGUUCAAUUCAGGGUCAGGCCA